RNAcentral lists this long non-coding RNA (5149 nucleotides) under Anolis carolinensis (green anole). RNAcentral's name for it is "lncRNA (ENSACAG00000038405.1)". The record is from RNAcentral. Lineage: Eukaryota; Metazoa; Chordata; Lepidosauria; Squamata; Anolidae.
AUGUUUGCAAUUUCCCCAUUUGUGCUUUUUUUGUAUUCAGAGAUUUAUUUAUUUAUUUAUUUUGUUUAUUUUUCAAUCUAUCUAUCUAUCUAUCUAUAUAUAUUGCAUACAGCUGGCAAGGCAGAAAAGCGCGCGCGUUGGCCCAACUCCGAGAGCAGCGCUAAUUGGUGCAGCUGUUGCCGCUCGCGCGCUGCCCGCCUGGGUCAGCGUUCCAUCGCCAGCUGUCCGAAGGGGCGAAAUUCACACUCUCACUCUCUCUCUCUCUCUCACACACACAUACAUAUACACUGUAUUCAGAGAUCCACGCCCCCUCCCACGAGGCGGGAGAGUGCGCGUGCGCGUCCCUCGGGGUCCGCGGGAGGCAGGCGAGUGAGGCAAAGAAGUGGGCGCGCGGCGUUGGCAGCACGCGCGCUUUGGGCUGCUGCUGCUGCUGCCGCCUCCUGACUGACUCAGGAGGAGGAAGAGGAGGAAGAAGAGAAGUUGCCAGCGAUGCCCAGCUGAGGAGAAGCCGGCCAGGUGAGGGGGAAGAGCGGGGGAAAGCCCCAGCCUGCUGUGGAAGCUAGGAAGGCUGGCUGUGCUGGGAAGAAAGGUGGAAGAGUGGGCAAAGAAAUGGGAAAGGGAGGAGGAUUCUGCCUACUUUCUAUGGACCCUUUCUAUAAGCCUUCUGUGGGACAUGCUCUCGCUCAGGCUCAGUCUACAUUGUCAUAUCAUGCAUGCUAUAGUCAGGGUUGAGACCCAUCUAAUGCAGUGUAACCCAUUACAGGCAGUCCUCAAGUUAUGAAUAUAGGUUCAGUAGCUUUGUCCUUAUGCUGAAUGUGUAUGUAUAUCGGGACAAGCACAUUUUUCAGGCAAAAAUAUAGAUACAGUAGAGUCUCACUUAUCCAAGACUCGCUUAGCCAACGUUCUGGAUUAUCCAAUGCCUUUUUGUAGUCGAUGUUUUCAAUACAUUGUGAUAUUUUGGUGCUAAAUUCGUAAAUACAGUAAUUGCAACAUAACAUUACUGCGUAUUGAACUCCUUUUUCUGUCAAAUUUGUUGUAAAACAUGAUGUUUUGGUGCUUAAUUUGUAAAAUCAUAACCUAAUUUGAUGUUUAAUAGGCUUUUCUUUAAUCCCACCUUAUUAUCCAACAUAUUCACUUAUCCAACAUUCUGCCGGCCCGUUUAGCUUGGAUAAGUGAGACUCUACUGUAUGUAAGUUGGAACAGGUACAUUUACGUGUAACUCUAGCCCAAAAGCUAUAUAUUUUCAGUUUUGCAUAGCAUAGGGAAGGGUGAAUACCCCAAUGGUAUUUCUUUUGCUGUCUGUCUCUGUUGAGAAGAUUUCACCUCACCUUCUGUCCCUGUGAGAAUUGAAUUUUGACAAAUUUGAUUUGUUGUGGUGGGUUAAAGCCUUGUUACUUGAAGGUUGGGUAGCUGACUUGAAGCCUGCCAGGUUUGAAUCCAACCUGGGAAGAGCGCGGAUGAGCUCCCUCUAUUCGCUCCAGCUCCAUGCGGGGACAUGAGAGAAGCCUCCCACAAGGAUGGUAAAAACAUCAAAAACAUCCGGGUGUCCCCUGGGUAACGUCCUUGCAGACGGCCAGUUCUCUCACACCAGAAGCAACUUGGUGCAAGUUGCUCCUGACACGGAAAAAAAAAUGUUGUGGAAACAAGGACUGGGGAGCAAGCUUCAGUAGAGACCCCCUUUCUCCUAUAUAACUCUUUCAGGAAUGGAUUUCCCUUCAGAGGGGUAGAUAUUUACUUUAUUUAGCAUCAUUACACAUCUUUAAACAACAUCACUCAUCAUCACUUUAUAUCUUUAAGGCACUUUUAUUAUUUAUGUUUUGUCAUGAUGUAGAUGCGUAUGGUGAGGCUUAUCUGUUUUAAUUGUUCUUUGGUUAGUCAUGUAAGUUUAUAGGGUUAUAUUGAUGCUAUGUGUUUAUUGUUUUGAUCUGUUUUGGUUGUUCAUUACGGCAUUAAGAUCUACCAGGGAGGCCCUCGUCUUGGUCCCACCACCAUCUCAAUGUUAGAAUCAUAGAGUUGGAAGAGACCUUUUGGGCCAUCCAGUCCAACCCCAUUCUGCCAAGAAGCAGGAAAAUCGCAUUCAAAGCACCCCCGAUAGAUGGCCAUCCAGCCUCUGUUUAAAAGCCUCCAAAGAUGAAGCCUCUACCACACCCUGGGCAGAGAGUUCCACUGCUAAACAACUUUCACAGUGAGGAAGUUCUUCCUAAUGUUCAGGUGGAAUCUCCUUUCCUGUAGUUUAAAGCCAUUGUUCCGUAUCCUAGUCUUCAGGGCAGCAGAAAACAAGCUUGCUCCCUCCUCCCUAUGACUUCCCCUCACAUAUUUAUACAUGGCCAAGCCAUCAUGUCUCCUCUCAGCCUUCUCUUCUGCAGGCUAAAUAUGCCCAGUUCUUUAAGCCGCUCCUCAUAGGGCUUAUUCUCCAGGCUUUUGAUAAUUUUAGUCACCCUCUUCUGGACACAUUCCCACUUGUCAACAUCUCCCAUCAAUUGCAGUGCCCAGAAUUGGACACAGUAUUCCAGGUGUAGUCUGACCAAGGCAGAAUAGAGGGGUAGCAUGACUUCCCUGGAUCUAGACCAGUGGUUCUCAACCUAUGGGUCCCCAGAUGUUUUUGGCCUUCAACUCCCAGAAAUCCUAACAGCUGGUAAAGUGGCUGGGAUUUCUGGAAGUUGUAGGCCAAAACACCUGGGGACCCACAAGUUGAGAACCACUGAUCUAGACACUAUACUCCUAUUUACUCAGGCCAAAAUCCCAUUCGCUUUUUUAGCUGCUGCAUGACAUUGUUGGCUCAUGUUUAAUUUGUCCACAAGGACUCCAAGAUUUCCAAGAUGUUUGCCACUUUCGUUCUGGAAACUGCCCGAGUUUAUUUAUUAUGAUAUUUUUACCCUGCCUUUCUCCGCAGUGGACCCAAGGCAGCUUACACAUCAAAAACAUACAUUGCAAAAGUUGAAAACAUACUUAAAAUCACCUGUUCUAUAUAAGCAAUUAACACCCCCCCCCCUAUAAAACCCCUUCAACAUACAGGAAUUUAACCUUAAAACAUUAAUGCAAAGGUUGGUGGCCAGAUUACUAACUGGAGCUGGUUAUAGGGAGCAUACCAUAUUAAAGCAGCUCCACAGGCUGCCAAUGAGUUUCCAGACCCAAUUCAAAGUGCAGGUUAUUACCUAUAAAGCCCUUUACGCUUCGGGUCCAACCUAUUUCGAGACCUAAUCUCCUUCUGUGAACCAACAUGGGCAUUAAGAUCUACCGGGGAUGCCCUCCUCUUGGUCCCACCUCUGUCUCAAGUGCAGUUGGUGGGGUUGAGAGAGGGCUUUCUCGGUGGUGCCUCCCCCCCGACUUUGAAAUGCCCUCCAUAGGGAGAUCAGGCUAGCCCCCACUCUCCAAGCCUUUCGUACACAAUUGAAGAUAUAUUUUUUUCGUCAAGCCUUUGACCAUGUUUAGAAUCCCUAACGAACAUAUUUGAGGACCUAGAGAUUAACUCACUGUGCACUUUAUGAGAUUGAUAUUGAUGAUAGUUGUUUUAUACCUGGAGCUAUUGUUGCAUUUUACGUAUUUUAACUGGGGGGGGGGGGUGUUGUUGUGAUUUUUAUGUUGGUUGUUACUGCUUUUGUGUUACUGUCUUUGUACUUUUUGUAUUUCACAUGUUGCACCUUUGAGUGCCUUCUGAGCUGCCCCAAGUCCCAAGUUGGAGAUGGUAGUGGGGUAUAAAUAAAAUUGAUGAUGAUGAUGAUGAUUAUUAUUACUAUUAUCCCAGAUCUAAAUCAUAAGACUUUCUUAAAUAAAAUAAAGACUUUCUUUCUUAAAUAGGAAAGUCUUUACCCCCUUCUGGAAGGUCAGGAGGGACGGGGCAGAUCUUAAUUCUCUCACUUUCUGUUGUCUCACUCCUAUUCUUAACUGUGAGUCGUUAGUAACUCGGAGACUGCCUGUAUAUGGGUCUAUGCUGCCCAUAUCGUGCAUGGUAUGGCAGCCUAGCUCCAGCCUUGGUCCUCUUUCUCUGCCUUUUAUUCUCUCAUUCAUUCUCUAUUCCAACCCCUCGCCAUUUCUCCAACUCUCCCUUCUUUCGCUCUCUCUCAUCCCACCUAUCUUCCCACUUUCCCUUCCCACGUUUUCAUGCCUCGUAGAUUUUCCUUGGCUCUCUUUUGUUCUUCAUUUCUGUUUCCCCUCUUCUUUGUAGCUUGCUGUUCUUCUUCAUCCUUCUCGCUUUCUUCCCUUUGCUUCUCUCUAUUUUUUUUUUUUUUGUUUCUGUCAGGAACUUUUAAGAAAAGCUUUCUCUGUUCUUUUCUUUGGCUUGCAGUGUCAUAGACUUUCCCUCUCUAGGGUUUGGACUUUCCAUGCUCUGGUUUUGUUUAUUGGUUUACUAACAAAGUACUGGUUGUGCUGCCAAUCAAGGACUGAAUGAAGAUUCUAAAUCUUGAGGAACCAAAAUACAUGUAUCAAAGGGGUGGGGCAUGUUUGGCAGAAAAAGCUCGGAAAGGUGGCUGGAGAGAGUGAUUGCUUUGCUUAGUGGUCAUUUUAUGAGAGAAUUCUAUAUUGGGAUACCUAUAAAAUCCCAAGGAUAUUAUAUUUGAACUGAGCAAGUUGAACUGAACGGAAUGGUGUGACUUAAGUCAAUACAGACUACUAGCAUCCGUAGGCUGGUGUUUGUCCUGGAUGUGCUUUUUAAUGGGUUUUAUGUGGGACCAGCAUUUUAAGAACUCCGAGUUUCACUUUUCAGUGUAAACUUCUGAAUACUGGAAGCUUUAAGAGGAUGGAAGGCUCUGUCACUGUAUGAAAGCUGCCUCUGUCCAAAAGCUUGACAAGGUGAGCUGUAUGAGUUGGAAGCUUACAUAAUCUUGUAAACAGAAUUCCUCAUUUGUUUGCAUCCAAGGAUUGAUGCAAUAAUAUACAAGUUGAAGAGUCCAAGACUUAAACCAAGUAUAUUUAUUUAUUUAUUUAUUUAUUUAUUUACAACAUUUAUAUCCCGCCCUUCUCACCCAAGGGGACUCGGGUGGCUUACAAAAAUUGGCAAAAUUUAAUGACCAAAAUACAAUCAUAAAAACAAAACAAUAACAGAUCUAUUAAUAACAUUGUUAAAACACAUUAUAAAACCUUAAAAACGUAUAUAUAAUUAAUUCAAUUCAUCCGAGAUCCUCAUUCUACAUCCUUAAAUCAGUCCAUG